UGGAUAUAGCUCAGUUGGUAGAGUGCUUGCCUCCCAUGCACAAGGCCUUGGGUUUAAUCCCCAGCACCAA
This 70-nucleotide transfer RNA is filed under the name Marmota monax (woodchuck). Its description in RNAcentral is "tRNA.Gly". Lineage: Eukaryota; Metazoa; Chordata; Mammalia; Rodentia; Sciuridae. The record is from RNAcentral.